This 70-nucleotide transfer RNA is filed under the name Chaenophryne melanorhabdus. RNAcentral describes it as "tRNA-Ile". It matches the Rfam family "tRNA". Rfam says of the family: Transfer RNA (tRNA) molecules are approximately 80 nucleotides in length. Their secondary structure includes four short double-helical elements and three loops (D, anti-codon, and T loops). RNAcentral also lists the same sequence under 1 other name. The record is from RNAcentral. Lineage: Eukaryota; Metazoa; Chordata; Actinopteri; Lophiiformes; Oneirodidae.
GGAGCCGUGCCUGAACUAAAGGGCCACUUUGAUAGAGUGAAUCACGAGGGUUAAAAUCCCUCCGACUCCU